This 253-nucleotide ribosomal RNA is filed under the name uncultured bacterium. Its description in RNAcentral is "partial 16S ribosomal RNA". It matches the Rfam family "Bacterial small subunit ribosomal RNA", at positions 524 to 776 of the family's 1533-position model. The record is from RNAcentral.
UACGGAGGGGGCUAGCGUUGUUCGGAAUUACUGGGCGUAGAGCGCGCGUAGGCGGACCUGCAAGUCGGGGGUGAAAGCCCGAGGCUCAACCUCGGAACUGCCUUCGAUACUGCGGGUCUCGAGUCCGGGAGAGGUGAGUGGAAUUCCUAGUGUAGAGGUGAAAUUCGUAGAUAUUAGGAAGAACACCAGUGGCGAAGGCGGCUAACUGGUCCAGAUCUGACGCUGAGGUGCGAAAGCGUGGGGAGCAAACAGG